Arabidopsis thaliana (thale cress) is the source of this 510-nucleotide RNA transcript. RefSeq lists it as uncharacterized. Lineage: Eukaryota; Viridiplantae; Streptophyta; Magnoliopsida; Brassicales; Brassicaceae. The record is from RefSeq. The transcript has 3 exons.
UCUCAAAGAAGAACGUCGAUUCUGUCGGAGAACCUCCGUCGUUGUCAUCUGAAAUCGUUUCUUCUCUCGUUUUCGCCAGCAAACUUCCUUGUCUUCCCUCUUCUCUCCGGAUCAAAAUCCACAUUCUUCUAAUUCUCUUUGAAAUCCAUUCCAAAUCGACGUUCAUCUCUUUGUAAGGUACUUAUUAAAUGGCUAUUACCAGAGGAGGAGGAUCUAGUUCUAGAAGUGAAAGGGCUGCCAAAACACAAAAUUAGUCUGAUCCAAACCAUUUAGUGUUUGCAGCUGAUGUGGAUAGUGACGAUGAACAUGAAGGGGACUGAUCGGCGAAUGAUCCUGUGUCUGAUAAUGAGGAAAUAGAGAUGGAUUCUGAUGAGGAUUCCAUGCCUCUUCAGCCUGAGAGAUUCUUCUUUACUCCUAAAGAGUAUGUAAAGACUAUGAAGACUUAUACAAGGUGUAACAUUGCUUUCACGCUGGCUGUCAUAGGGCAGAAGCUCAACGACAGAGAAAAGA